RNAcentral lists this ribosomal RNA (445 nucleotides) under uncultured bacterium. RNAcentral describes it as "bacterial SSU rRNA". It matches the Rfam family "Bacterial small subunit ribosomal RNA", at positions 331 to 793 of the family's 1533-position model. The record is from RNAcentral.
CCAGACUCCUACGGGAGGCAGCAGUGGGGAAUAUUGGACAAUGGGGGGAACCCUGAUCCAGCGACGCCGCGUGAGUGAAGAAGUAAUUCGUUAUGUAAAGCUCUAUCAGCAGGGAAGAAAAUGACGGUACCUGAGUAAGAAGCCCCGGCUAACUACGUGCCAGCAGCCGCGGUAAUACGUAGGGGGCAAGCGUUAUCCGGAUUUACUGGGCGUAAAGGGAGCGUAGACGGCGAUGCAAGUCUGAAGUGAAAGGCGGGGGCCUAACCCCCGGACUGCUUUGGAAACUGUAUGGCUGGAGUGCAGGAGAGGUAAGUGGAAUUCCUAGUGUAGCGGUGAAAUGCGUAGAUAUUAGGAGGAACACCAGUGGCGAAGGCGGCUUACUGGACUGUAACUGACGUUGAGGCUCGAAGGCGUGGGGAGCAAACAGGAUUAGAUACCCCCGUAG